This is a non-coding RNA of Dipodomys ordii (Ord's kangaroo rat), 46 nucleotides long. The record is from Rfam. NCBI's taxonomy places the organism in Eukaryota, Metazoa, Chordata, Mammalia, Rodentia, Heteromyidae.
CCAAAGGCUCUUUUCAGAGCCACCACAUAUUUGCACUGAAAGACCU